Molecule: non-coding RNA, 796 nt
Organism: Microcebus murinus (gray mouse lemur)
Lineage: Eukaryota; Metazoa; Chordata; Mammalia; Primates; Cheirogaleidae
Source: RefSeq, a predicted model, not a curated record
CUUUUUUCUCGGGUUGCCAUAGAAACCUGACGUAAUAAGCGUGCGGCUGCGCCUUUUGCCUAGUACUUCAACAGAAACAUGAGGUAACAAGGGUGACCACGGUACCUUUUUACUGGCAGGUGCCAUAGAAACCUGACAUAAUAAGGGCAACCGUGGCGAUAGUUUCCCGGCUGGUGCCAUAGCGCCUGACGUAGUAUGUGCGACCCCAGCAACUCUUGCAUAGCACUUGCCAUAGAAAGCUGACUUAAUACGACCAUGGCCAAUAUUCCUUCCAGCUGCCAUAAAUACCACAUGUCAUAAGGGCGCCCACGGCAACUUUUCCAUCAGACUUGCCAUAGAAUGCUGGAAGAUUUACUGGCAGGACAAAUUGCCUGAUGGAGUGGAGUGGAGAAGAAAGCAUACAUCUCCUCAUUACUUUUUAUUUGAUGUCCUUUCUUACCAUCUUCUUUUAUCUACUAUUUGGACAUUGGAAUAACAGCCUCCCAUUGAGCCCCAGAGAGGAGACAGUACAGAUGACAGAGCACAAAGAAAGGAAGUAAUGAUGCCCAUCUCAGAGCAUGGCUUUGAGGAUUUGAAGAGUAAAGGUCUGAAAAUAACAACUUACAGCAUGUACCAUCUAUAUGACAUCUGACAAGGAUGUGGAAUAUUCCCUAGACCAGGAGCUCAUAGAGAAGAACCCAGUGUGUUGUGGAGUCCACUAAAUAGGUUACUGGAGCAAGAGUGAAGAAAUCAGGCUUCCUUCGUUGGGACAUGUCAGAGAUGGGGUCUUGCUCUUGCUCAGGCUGGUCUCGAACUC